Molecule: unclassified non-coding RNA, 231 nt
Filed under: Arthrobotrys superba
Lineage: Eukaryota; Fungi; Ascomycota; Orbiliomycetes; Orbiliales; Orbiliaceae
Description: partial internal transcribed spacer region
Rfam family: Eukaryotic small subunit ribosomal RNA (bases 1-46)
Source: RNAcentral
AAGUCGUAACAAGGUCUCCGUUGGUGAACCAGCGGAGGGAUCAUUACCGAGUUAUUACUCCAAACCCUUUGUGAACCAAAACAAACCUUUCGCUUCGGCAGCUGGGCCCCGUCUGGGACCCGUCAGCCUGCCGCUAGCACCAAACAAAAAAACUUGUUGUCAAAACAUUGUCUGAUAACCAAAAUUUUCGAAUGAAAAUCAAAACUUUCAACAACGGAUCUCUUGGUUCCC